RNAcentral lists this long non-coding RNA (13422 nucleotides) under Triticum aestivum (bread wheat). Its description in RNAcentral is "long non-coding RNA (TAES_LNC012833)". The record is from RNAcentral. Lineage: Eukaryota; Viridiplantae; Streptophyta; Magnoliopsida; Poales; Poaceae.
UUUUUUUUUGUGCCCACACGGUUUUUACUCGUGUGCACAAAAAAUCAUUUUGCAAAAAAAUCACAGAUUAUUCAUUAAAAAUAAUAAAAGAACAUAAAUUAGCCAGAAAUAUAUAAAAAUUAAAAAUCCUAUGCAUGCAAAAAAGGUGCCCAUGAUGUUUGUACCUAAAAUGCCAUGCAUGCAAAGAGGAAAUUACCAUGAUAUGCUGAAAAGCACGAGGCCGUGAGCCGUUCGCUCGAGAUCGACUCGUUUUUUGGCUCGAAUCAAGAUUGAUUCGAAAAGAAACGAGCUGAGUACGAACACUUUUUGUAGCUUGAUUGAGAAAUGAGCCGAUCUUGAGCCGAUACCGGCUUGCUCGAUUUUAACUCGAUAGCUCGGCAUGAUAUGUUAAAUGAUCAUGCCAUAUAUUAAAUGAAAAUAGGAUAAUUUAUUACCAUAUAUGCCGUCUAGGAUUUUUCUCCACUUUAUUUACAAGAAACAUGGAGGCUUAAUUAAUUAUAGACUAAAUUUAGCCCUUAUUAUGGUACAUGGUUGGUCGUGUGUUAAAUAUUCUGUUGUUUCUGGCAAAAGUUCACAUCAUAUUCACCUUCAGUUUUUUUUUCUUUCACUCGAGAAGACCACCGUCUGCUGCCAGUUCGUCCAACAGAAGAUGAGCUCUCUCGAGUAUGAAGAGAUUGUUGUACCUUCAAUUGGAGCAAGCCUGUUUUUUUUUCACUUUCACGUCAUCUAGUUGGUACUAAUAUAGUUUAUAAAUAAACGAAGGAUCUCUGAAUUUUUCUACUAUUAUUUUUCUAGAUCUGAGUUAUAGUUAGACUGUUCAAGUGCAAAGUACUAUUGGAUAGGGAGACAUGGUGGUCUUCUUUAGUAAUAGAGAAACAGUACUGGAAUAUGAUUAAGAGAUCUCUGAAACGUGUAUAUAUGAAUGAACGGUACUAAAAGACUUUUGGCCAAUAAUUUGUUUUCCCAGUGUAUAUAUGUCAUGAAUUGUUAUAAUAUAUCAAUACUAGACAUUCAGUUGUGCGAGAAUAAGCCAAACUGCUUCUAAGAAAUUUAUAUUAUCAUCAUUCUGAUUAGAAAAAAAAUUAGUGCUUUUUUAUGUCGUGUUGUGCCUUAUGUAGUUGGAGUAAUAGUCGUAUAUUUUAUAUUUUUUAUCAUCUCAUUUAGCUCGAAAAUAGCUCGAGAUCGUUACAGCUGAUCAUGAGUCAUGUUCUACUGCUCGACCUUAAGCUUUAUUAAGUUUGAGCUCGCUCGAAUUUUAAUAUGAGUUGAGCUGAGCCAAGUCCAACUCGCUCGAACUCGACUUGUUUGCCUAGCCAUGGUUUUUUGCCAUCGUAUAGACACUAUGGCAUAGGCCGUGGGGAAAAACAAGAAAUAUAUACACUUUGCCACAACAAUUAUGGAGCUGCCAUGGCAAGAAACUAUUUUUUUUUGUCAUGACAACUAAAAAUCACAAGGAUUUAGACACGCAGGUAGUAGAAAAGUGCCAUUUUGCUAGCUAACAAAAUGCCAUGUUUUUGGGCAAAUCAUGUAGAAACUGCCAAGGGCAAAAAUAAUGGCAAAAAUGCCAAGUUCUAAAUUUUGCCAUGUCACUAAUUCACAAAAGUGUAACAAGAAUAGAUUUGCCAUGGCACAUAAACUUGAAAUGCCAUGUCUCUAAUUUAAAGAAAAUACCAUCCUCUAAAUAAUAAAAUUGCCAUGUUACCUAGAAUAAAACUACCGUGUUAUAAAAGGUAAAAAUGCCAUGGUCUAAAAUAAGUAAAAUUGCCAUGGUGCCUAAAACGAAAAGUUGCAUAUGGCAAAAAAAAAAACUUGAGCCAAAAAAUUUUUAUGAUGUGGUGGUGAUUAUCUACAGAAAUGCCAUUAUUAACAUUUGGCCAAAAGUGGACCAUUCAAAACAAUCAUACAAAAAAUGCCUUGCGAAGCAAAUUCAAACAAACAUACAAUUUGCCAUUCCAAUGUUUGAACAAACAUUCCUACUAUUCGCUCAUAGGGACAAAAAAGGAUGCCAUGCAAUCAAAACUGAGAUAAUGAAAUAAUGACAUCAUGAUAUAUGAAACAACUCUAACAAUUUGCCAUGGGAAUAAAAUGCCAUGGCAAAAAAAUGUAACUUCUGGCAGAUUACAAUUUCUUCAUAGUUAGCUGAAUUUUGCAAAAAUGUGACAAAAUAUUAGGACUCCCAAGUAUUAGGUUCUCAUGGCAAAUGUAACAAAAAUAUCAUGGCAAAAAUGACUCAAGCCAAUGGCAAUUUGCAAAAGGAGGACAAGUACUGUUGUACAUGGCAAAAAUUAUCUAAAAAAUGCAAAAAUGGUCAAUGAUGCAUUAGGAUCUCGUUUCAAGUUUCUCACGGCAGUAAGAUGUCAACAAAUGUCCACUACAGUUUCAGAAGAAAAAAAACUAUACAAGGUAUUGUAUUUGGGAGGGGUAGAGCUGAAGUGGACGCGGUGGAGCUUGCCCACGCCGGCGGGGAGCUCGCGGAUGGCAAUGUAGACUCCGGGCUUGCGGACAAGUUGGACGAUGGCGUUGGGGAUGCAGAUCCAAGUGAGGAGGCACGGGAGGUCGCCAGAGAUGACGACCACGGAGGACGGAGGCAGGCAGCAGCGGCGUGCCGUAGGAGAGGGCGCGGAGCUCUUGAAAAGCAAGCAGCGGCGACAACAGGAGUUACAGAGAGGAGAUGAAAGACCACGAGAAGAGGGGAAGGAAGAAGAGAACGGCGGCUCACCAGAGAACGGUCGGUGGCGGGGAGCGGUCAACGGUGGGGGCGCGGUCGGCAUCAUGGCCGCCGCCAUGGUCGCCGGGACCCCUCUCUCUUUCCUCUCUGCACACAGACUCUCUCUAAAUGUAGGGGGGCUAGGAGUUUUUUUUUCUUCGGAAAAAUGAAAUCUCUCACCACAACACAGCGGAAUAAAUAAAAAUAAGGCAAUUCCAAGUAUAGAUAAAACUAAGAAUGGAAUUGACUUUGAGGAAAAACUACUACGAACUACUGAGAUAUAUCUAGCAGAACUGAUGUGAGGAGAAUCACCAAGUAGCUGUAGAUGAAAAACAUGCGAACAUACAAACAUAUCGACUUAAGAAUGGCGAGACAGAAUACGAGGGAUAACAUGAUGAACAAACAUAGAGAUAUGUUAUUCAGUUACAAAGAACUGAUCACAGAAUGAGAGGUAUGCUGGUACAGCCGGUGGGGUGGCCGGAAAUGGUGGCGGCGGGGUGACCCGAAACCCAAGCGCCCUGCCCUUUACAAAAAAUUGAUGUUUGUUCCAGCUUGUGCUUCUAGGAAGCUAGAAGUAGCAAAAGCUGAAGCUUUAGCCCAAACAAACAGGGGCAUGGUAUUCAAAUCGCUUCAUAAUUGAGUUAUGAAGUCAAUCUACAGACAGCGGAAGCAAAAGAUAUCGUGCAUAAAAUUGUAAAAGUAUGCAGAUAUGGCAGAUGAAUUUAAUUAUCUGCUCCCAGGGCAGAAACCUCUGCGGUAGCACAGGUCAGCAGUAGAAUCUUGAUAUGCUUGUGCAGAUAUAUUUUUACAGCGCUGAAAAACAAAUCCCAUCAGGUGGAAGUUAGUAUCUGUCGAGCCUAGCUCUGGUUUGCAUAAAGAAUAGCCAGCAAAUGCAACACCUCAGAUCAAUGACAGCAUUCUUUUUUUAAUUAAGAACUGAAUGCGUAAGCAGCUGCUGGAUUCAACUGUCGAUAUAACAGUAUCAGCUGUGGUGUCCAAAACUUUCGGUAAACCAUUCCGCAACAAUGCUCUUAGAGGCACUGAGUAAAAUGAAGACAGCUUUACAACACCAGAAGGUUGCCAAUGCACACAAAAAAAAUGUCAGCGCACAGUUUCCUAUCCCAGACAAUGCAAAAUAAAAUAAAAUGCUCGGUGCGAAAGUAAGUUAUCAUGCAUGUAUCAGGUUUAGUAUAGCUGUAUAAGCACUUGUGGCAGAAAGAAACUAACACUAUUUAGCCUUUUAAACAAAUACACAAAUGUGCAUUGUUCUGCAUUUCACCCGACAUGGUGGCAUGUUAAACCAAAUUCAUCGGGCAUGCCUCUGAAUUGGCUGCAACUAACGCAAUUGUGUUUCUCAACUCACUACAUGGCUUCAGACUGGCAAUUCCUUGAAUGGCUUGUUGCCUUAUUCAUCUUUUCAAGUAGAAUUAUAAGAUAUAUCAAAUUUAGUCUGAACAUUUCGUGAUGCCUACAAGGAAUAGCAAUUGCAUUAACACAUUGGGCUGCUUAAUUUACCAUGACCUUGGAACAGUCCAUGCACGUAGGGUUACAUUCCUAGGGUUCAGUCAAGCCACAUAGAUACAAUUUUUAAUAAAUGGUUCCAUAAAUUAUUUGUCAAAGGAAACACCAAGGAAACAUCUCAGUAACAUGUCAGUAUGAGGAGCAGUUCUGAUUAAGUAGUUAAAGAAUAUUGCAGUUAUUAUAUCUCAAAUAACUUGGUUGGGGUAACAAGGGUUUGAUGGCAUUAGCCACAUGGCACAUCUUCAUACAUGAGGGAACUACUUACCAAGAUCCAUUUUUACAUAUGAAGAAAUUAAAAAAUCUCCAACGUCUGGUUCCUCGUUUCUCCAUGCUGAGGAUCACCAGCCUUGCAAGCUAAAUAACAGCACUUGAGUUAGCAUCAGGAAAAAGACAAAUUAGAAAACACCACGAAAAGGGAGUUCGGAAAAAAUAAAUGAAAUGAUGCACUUUGCCACUUUCUAAACUGGCAACACAGUAUAAUUGAUGAAAUGACAUGUUUGCAAUUGUUUGGAGCCAUCUUUGCAUAUUUUCGUAGAGCAAACUAAACAGGGCAUGAAUAGAGCAAACUGCCCAAGUGGCAAAUGAAAAGGGUGGUUCAUCACAGGAAAAAAAAAAGAGUUUGCCUCUUAGUCUUGCCUGGCUUUCGUGCCCUGGUCAAGCAAUCUGACCACCAAACGACGGCCACUGGAGGCGGCCGCCGGCAGUCAGAUUUCUGAUCUCCGACGCACCUCUCCACUCUCCACCCUGCCUCCCUAUCCGAGUCUCCUUGAAGCCCUGAAAAUUUAUCUGCAAUUGUUCAAACCCGAUGGAGGUCAAUUUUCUAUAGCAGUACUCCAAAGAUUGAAGAAAAAAAUCGGAUAGGCACCUGACAUAACGAGGAGACAGAAUCCACAGAAAGCAUGGAUUAUUAAGAGUUUAUCUGGUACUGCAACAAGAGCUCACAACAUCAAAAGGUAUACAGCCACAGCCUGACAAUCACGCAAAAAGGGCAUAAACUUUAAUGCACACUUGGUAUCAUAUGCAAGUAGGAAAAUUGUCGAAUACGCAGAUAGACUUAGCAUUAUGUUUUCCAGACAGUAACAUUCUAGGUAGCUGAUAAUUCAUGUUGUCAGUAUCACAUCCAGCAUUAACAUGUUUUAAUACAAAGGGCAGCAGUAAAAGCUCAAUAUAGUUGUGAAGAUAUAUUUUUAUAGCACUGACAAGUAGAUUAGAUGCUAUCUAGCGGAGCCAGCUUGCAUCUGUUAAUGCCUAACUCUGUUUGCAUAAAGCAUAGCCUGUAAACAUUGUAAGCAGAUUGGAUAACACGCUCAACUUAGGUUAAACAUUCUAACAAUCUGCUGGGCUUAAAUCAUGAUAUAACAAAUUAACAGCAUAGAUUCAUUCAUACCUGUUAAAGAACACACAUAACCCCUGAUUGGUGCAAAUCAGAGGAGGCUUUAGUUUACCAGCCAUAGUAUUUGGAGGAGAUAAUAGGACGUACAAAGAUAAUAUACUACUGCAUUAUUCAGUUUUGAGUCAAGUUGUGCCUCAAAAUGAAAGCAUCAGCCAUUAGGCUAAUCAGAAAUAUAGGAGAAAAAUAAAUGAAAAAACUGAUACAAACUAGUAAAUCAUGAAUUACUUUCACAGCAUUUAGCAUCUUCAAACAAAGAUACUGCAGAAAGAAUGAAGAUAUUCAGCUUACAAGAACUAGAGCAAGGAACCAACAAACUAAAUCAAAACUGCAUCAUCGAAACCAACACAUUGNNNNNNNNNNNNNNNNNNNNNNNNNNNNNNNNNNNNNNNNNNNNNNNNNNNNNNNNNNNNNNNNNNNNNNNNNNNNNNNNNNNNNNNNNNNNNNNNNNNNNNNNNNNNNNNNNNNNNNNNNNNNNNNNNNNNNNNNNNNNNNNNNNNNNNNNNNNNNNNNNNNNNNNNNNNNNNNNNNNNNNNNNNNNNNNNNNNNNNNNNNNNNNNNNNNNNNNNNNNNNNNNNNNNNNNNNNNNNNNNNNNNNNNNNNNNNNNNNNNNNNNNNNNNNNNNNNNNNNNNNNNNNNNNNNNNNNNNNNNNNNNNNNNNNNNNNNNNNNNNNNNNNNNNNNNNNNNNNNNNNNNNNNNNNNNNNNNNNNNNNNNNNNNNNNNNNNNNNNNNAAAAAAGGUGGGGUACAGAAAUUUUCAUCGAAGGGAAUUUAUGUGAGUUCAUUUGAAAUUAGAUUAGCUCAUAUCAUCUCCGUGGCCAAACUGAGGAUCUUCCUUCAUGGAAAGAUAUCAAGAGUGCAUGCAUACUCACUGAUAUUGCAGAAUGAACUGAUAUUGCAGAAACUUUCAAUAUGUGUGUCGAUAUGGCGCAAGGAAGAACAAGUUCAUAACCAUGCCAUGCUUUCUUCUCUAAUGAACGAUGACAUGGAGAUACCAGGAGUCAUGUCUCUAAUAAUUAGCUUCAUGAAGCAUUAGCAACUAACAAACAAGCAGUGACAGACAUACUAUAUCAGACAGCCAACAUUUAGUUAGGCAAGAACACUGAAACAAAGCUUACAAGCUUACUGCAUAAAGUGGAAUAUGUGGUACAGUAAGCAUCAAAAUUUCAAUAUUGUGUUCUCAGUUCAUGCAAAUACGAAUCUAGCCGGCACUUCCCCUCCGCAAGCGGUUGCAUAGUCUUCAGCGAGGUAUGGUGCAGCUUCCUUGUAAGGGCACAUGUACCUCUGCGCGAAAACAUUCUCAUUCACCUUGACAACUGUAUAAUAGCUCGGAUCACCCUUGAGCAAUCCAUUUUCCUUGAGAAACUUUAAAACGUAGUACCGGGGCCUGAGCCGGCGCUCCAGGCUAAGACAGAUAAUUACAGGCCGAUGAGCAAUGAAUGCUGGUUCCAAGCCCACCUCAGAGAUCAGGAACUCUGACUUGCUCUGCAGCAUGUGGUGAGACUUGGUCAGCAGCAUCGGAUACUUGGACACAGCAACGCCGACCUCAGCAUCUGACCACCCAAACGUCUUCUUCAAGUAAUCCAAUUUGGCGGUGACCUUCUGUUCGCCGACAAAUGCGACAGCAUGCAGCGCGUGCCUGAACAUCCCGGACCGACGGGGUAUGCCGAGGCCUUCGGCGCACAGCACCAACGCCUGGAUGCGCUCCGAGCCGGAGGUGAGCAGGCAUGGGAGAGUGACGCACAGCUUGGCAAUGUCGCAGUCAGCUAGCCCGGACUCCCGCAGGAAGGUGACGUUGGGCUUGACCACCCUCUCCAGGUCGGACGAGACGAGGCAGGAGCCAUACCUCAGCACCCCGAGGAGGUUCUCGUAGGACCCGACGAGAGGCAGGUAGUAGUGCAGCUUGGAGACGAUGGAUCUGCAGCGGAAUUUGUCGGGGGCGAGCGAGACGAGGCGGGUGACCUCGGAAGGCGACAGGCCGAGGCCGGCGAGCCCCGCGGCGACGGGGGACAGGGUUCUCCCCACGUCGGCGCAGAGGAACUUGGGGUCCUUGGCGACGAGGGCGGCGGCGUCGGCGCCGGAGAGGCCGAGGCCGGCGAGGAAGGCCAGGACGGCGUCGGGGUUGGAGGGGAACUUGACGUGGGAGAGCUUGGCGGAGGCCUUGAGGGCCUGCGGUCGGGUGAGGCCGCAGGUGGAGACGAGGUACUCCUCCACGGCGAACCCGGUGCUGGGGGCGACGGCGGGGGCCGGCGCCGUGGUGGAGAUGAGGCGGUGGAGAGGAGAGACGGGGAAGACGGAAGGAUACGGGAGGAGCUUGGCGAGCACGCUGCGCCGGAGGCGGAGCAUGGCGGCGUCGGCGAGGCGGCGCCGCCGGCGAGGGAAUGGUGCGAGACGGAGGGGAGAGUGGUGAGGGUUUGCGUCGGUGUGGCGUCUGGUCCACCCUUGAUGGGCUGGGCUGGACUGAGUUGGACUAUAGAGAAUUAGAGACCCAUUUAGAUCAGCUCAAGUUGAUAAAAAAACAAUUUAGAUCAGCCCAAAUGCCCUAAAAAUAACCACCCAACAAAAAUAAGGUUCUCUAAAAAAACCCAAGAAAAAUAAAGUGGCUAGUUAUUAUUAUCAGAUCAAAAGUGACUGAUUUAGAUGAUAUUGUGUCUCAAAAGAACUUUGGAUGAUAUUUCUCCCAAAAAUAUAUGUGUUUUUAUUUAUAUUUUUCUUCCUCGUUGUGAUUUCAAGAACAUAAACAUGUGUGCCCUAAUCACAUGCCGCGAGGGAGGGAGAUUGAGUGGCCAAUAAUUGAAAGAAAUGUGAUCACAUUGAAAUGCAAAUACAAAUGUGAGCGCCGGGAUAUAAACUAGUUUGUUGAGUGAAGCAAUGUUGGAGCAACAUUGUGUAUCGAUUCUUUUCUUCGCACAAGUUAAGGCAUCUCUAGCCAACCCCUUAAAAGGUUUAACUCCUCAAAAUAUUCUUUUUUAGCCUAACUCCUAUCAAGUUAAUUCCUCAAAAUUUUGAGGAGUUACCUUUCAAAAACUUAACAACUCUCUCACUUUUAAGGGGCCACGACAAGUUCUCAGCAAUAAUCUUCCCCAUUCACAAUGCCUUCUCCUUCCGCUUUUGCCGCCACAUGUCGCCACUUGUAGGGCAUGAGCAACUAGUAAAUAGAUCCAAUAUCCAAAGUGUGUGCACAAAUGAGGAAAGCAAUAUCGGAGGACCAUAGCGGUCUUCUUCACCAAAAUCUUGCCCAACAUUCUUUCAGUUUUUUUCUUUCUCGCAUCUGCACACACAACAUUCAGCGAAAUGUUGGACAAAUGAAUUCUAGAAAUAAGAAUGGGAGAAUCAUCUACUCUUUACACUUGGUUAAGUGGUUUUCAUCACAGGUCUUCGGUGUAUUAGAGACUAAAUGUGCACUUUAUACUAAGGUAAAACAAUUUUAAGCAUUUAACUUUUGGUGCACUCACAUGAAAAUAUACCCAUUUAAGUGGAUUCAUUGGACAGCUAUGCACAUCGUCAUUUCAUCAUGAGUUUACAAAAAUAAAGAGAAGAAAGUAAUAGUAUGAUAUCCGAAAGAUCUUGAUCCUGAAAUAACAAUAGAAAUUUCUUGCACAUUUUCUCCUUUCUUUGAGAAAUAAAAUGCAUGUCAGAUUGUUAUAGGACAGAAAAUAAAAUUCAAAAAAGUUAGAGAAGUAGGAGCUUCCCUGAAUAAAAUCCAUGCUGUCGUCAGGCCAUACUUGUCAGUUGUCACUGAAGCUUCAGGGUAUCAUUAACUAACAGAGCCUUCAGAAUCAUGCAUAGUAUAUCAAAUUCAUGGCCGUCAUGUUUCAUCUUGUCCGCCGGAAAAAGACAAAAGCACCAUCUAUCCAGUUUCACAUCAAGAACAAACAAAUAUGCACCAUCCUCAAACAAAUUGGUUCUUAAAUUGAGGUGCAUAGCAUGUCUAGUCUACUAUACAACAUGGCCUCCCAUCUGCCUUUUUUCUUUUCCUUUACCGACUUGCCAGAUAGAAAUUGCAAAUAAGGAUAGUGCAUAAAACCACUUGACUAUCCUAUGCUCAGGGAUAAAGAUGUCCUCAUUAUCUAUACAGAUAGUGCUAAUAUGGAAUAAAAUUAGCUUAAAGAUAUGGCUGAAUUAACAUUGUAAUGAUGUCAUAAGCCUUUCUAGGGUUACCAUAAUAUAAAUUCCUUUACUGUAUGAGACGACAUCUGCUUUUCAACACUAUACCAUACAACUAUCGAUUUGCUUCUACGGUAAGAAUACCAGGGCAUUUGAAAUAUCUGUUACGUCGUAGUGAUAUACAAGUAAACUGUCAAGAAAAAUGCCACUAGCCUACUACUCAACUAUUCAGUUCUGAGAUCAAAUGCCCCUGGAAAAGUAUCAGCUAGUAGGCCAUCCAAAAAUACAUGAGACAAAUAAACAAAUCAACUUGAUACAAACUAAUGAAAUCUCAGAAGAACUAGAUCAAAACUGCAUCCUCAAUAGUGAUCAGCACAUUGUGGCCAACAGGCCAACAACAAAUCCAAAAAUGUUUCCCGCGGAAAAAGAAGUUCAAAAUUUUCAUGGCUAUUUCAGAACAUAAAGACAGUGUGCAGAAAUACUACUCACUUCAAAGCAUUAGUAGGAUGCCGUGAUCUCACACUCUCCUAGUUCCAAUAUAUGUGUCAAUAACAUGAGGAAUGAACGGCUUGAUGCAGAGAGUGAAACUUCUGUUGUGUCAUACCCGGUUAUGAAAUUUUCAUACAGGCCUUGCUUCAUGUAAAUCUGAAUCUAGCCGGCACUUCCCCUUUGCACGCUGCUGCAUAGUCUUCAGCGAGUUGUGGUGCAGCUUCCUUGUAGGGGCAUAUGAACUUCUCCAUGAAUACCUCCUCUGGCAGCACGACUGCACAAUAGUAGUCUCGGUCAUGAUCUAGCAAUCCAUUUUCCUUAAGAAACUUCAAAGUGUAGUACCGGGGCCUUAGUCGGCCCUCCAGGCUGUAAGUGGGCAAUGUCGGCCGAUAAGCAAUGUAUGCCGGUUCCAACCCCACCUCAGAGAUCAGGAACUCCGACUUCCUCUGCAGCAGGUCCUUGGACAACGCCAGCACCAUCGGGGCCUUACAAAGAGCAAUGCCCACCUCAGCAUCGGACCAUCUGAAAGUGUCCUUCAAGUACUCCACUUUGGCGGUGAUAUCCUUCUCGCGGAGAAACGCAAGGGCAUUCAGCAUGCGCCAGAACAUCCUGGAGCCACGGGGCACACCUAGGCCUUCAGCGCGCGCCGCCAUCGCCCGGACGCGCUCCACAUUGGAGGUGAGCAUCCUCGGCUGAGCGACACACAGCUUGGCAAUAUCACAAGCACCUAUCCUGCACUCCCUCAGGAACGCGGCGUUGGGCUUCACCACCCUCUCGAGGUUGGACGAGAGAAUGUAGGGGCUGCGGUCGAGCACCCGGAGGAGUUUCCCGGAGGAGCCGAAGAGGGCCAGGUAGUAGUGCAGCCUGUAGAUGAUGGCUCUACAGCGGAACUUUUCGCCGGCGACCGAGACGAGGUGCGCGAUCUCAGGACGCGAGAGGCCGAGGCCGGUGAGCCCGUCGACGACGGGUGCCAGGGUCUUCUCCACUUUAGCGCAGAGUAGCAGCGGGUCCUUGGCGACGACGGAGGCGACGUCGGCGGCGGAGAGGCCGAGGCCGGCGAGGAAGGCGAGCACGGCGUCGGGCUUGGCGGGGGACUUGAGGUGGGAGAGCUUGGGGGAGGCCUUGACGGCCUGUGUUCGCGUGAGGCCGCAAGUGGCGACGAGGUACUCCUCCACGGCGAAUCCGAUGUUUGGGGAAACGGCGGGCGCGGCCGCGGAGAUGAGGCGGCGGAGAUGGGGUACGGGAGAGGUGGCUGGAGAAGAGAGGAGCUGGGUGAGGACGCAGCCACGUAGCCGGAGCAUGGCGGCGGCGGACGGCGGCGGCGGCGGCGGCGGCGAGGGGAUACGUGGAGCGGUGGUGCGAGCGAGAACGAGGGAGUGGUGAAGAUGACCUGCGUGGUCUGGUAUUUGACCAAGUGGGCCCCGUGCGUCAGUCUCAUGUUGACUGCCGAUUGUCUAUCUUAUACUCCUCCUGUCUUUUUUUUUCCUCCGCGUAUUAGAUUUUUGUCAACCCAAACAUUCUAAAGUUUGACCAAAUCUACAUUAGAAAAUAUUAAUAUCUACAAUACCAUUUAUAUACACACACACACACUAUGAAACUACAUUUCGUAACCAAUUUAACAAUAUGUUUUGGCAUUGUGAAUGUUGAUUUUUUUCUGUAUGUUUGAUCAAAAUAGAGAUAUUUUGACUGUGGACAAAACUUAUAUGCAGACUAAAAAAGACCGAAGAGGAUACAAAAAAUUCUUCUUUCAGAAAAUUUACUAUACAGUAAAAAUAUUCAUUUACAUAGAUAAAAAACACUCAUCUAGAGUAUAAUUAUAUACAAUAAAUAAACGUAUUAUAUCACCCACAAAAAAAGAAUAAACAUAUUAUAUGCCAAUGAAAUAUUCGUGUAUACUAAAGACACUAUUGAGACAAUUUAAGAAAAAUGCAGUCGUCAACAGUUGGAUACUUCGACGUAUGCCACUGCCACGGUGACAUUUUUUGAAUCAAAUUACUUUUCUAAUUUAUAGUGGUAUUUUUUGAAUACACGAAGUAGAUAUUAGCACAUACAGAGUGAACCAAAAAGAAUUGGACUGUUUUUUCUUUUCUUUUGCGAUUACAAGAGGUUGCCCUUGAUCACCUGAAGCUUCAAGCAUAACUCCACAAGUCGAAAGAUGUUGCAUUGGUAUCCUUUAGGACAAACCCGUGUGUAAAUACGAGCGCCAUGAUGACGAUUUGAUAAUUUGAUUUGAACUCCGUGAGUGGGAUAACUCCCAACAAUCCAGCACCCAUCCUCCUCCUCGAAUACGUCUCAUCCCGCUUGCAUAAUCCAUGAGCAACGGGUCCGGGGAUCGAACAUAAGCCGGUGAAUCACAAGGUGUUCAAUCGGUAUAAUUCCGGAUAUCACAAACCCCACACCAUAGUUUCACAAUUUGGGUCAAGCAACAAAGAACGCAUACACGAAAUUGUAUCAAACCACACCUACCAAGAUCAACAAAAACAAAAAACUUGCUGAGCACAAAUAGCUAUCAACUCACAAGGGGGCAAUGAGCUCUUUUAUGCGCUUAGUUUAACCGGGGCAAAAGAAUUGAAUCAUCUCCAAAGAAUAAUACAGUAGUACAAUAUACCAUGGUAUGGGAACAAGUACAGACAAGUAUAACAACAACAACAACAACAACAACAACAACAACAACACUUUCUACGACGUGAUCAGGCCUUCCUUUCUUACACUACUAGAAUAACAGACAGAUUAUCUCUAUCUUCUAUUCUCAUCAAAACCAAAAAAGAAUGAGGGGGUUGAACUGGUUUGCGCCUUCGAACAAUGAAUCAGGGGUAGAGGCGGAUUAUCUGUACAAUGGCAUCCAGAUGUUGCUUUUCAUCACACGCAACGAAAAAAAGGAUGCCCGGCUCUGUUCUCCUGCGCUCUAGUAAACAUAAUAACAACCAACAUAUAGCUACUAAAUACUCAAAAAACCAAGACUGUACUUAUGUAGUACGCGCCUGGCGCACCUCGGUUUCGGUGCGGUUUCCCCCAAGGUUUCAUUCAAAAUUGGAGGGGAUGUCUGUCCAUCUCUGUCCUGGCAAUCAUCACUUGAUUCGCUGUGAACAGCUCCUUUCACCUUUUAACUUAGUUGGGGUUUGCUGGAAGAACCGCGGUUAACCAAGGUUGUGUGGGCUGAAUCAUGGCUGACACGGCGAUCAUGCUGAGCAGUCACCUCACUUUUCAG